AUUAUUUUUUUAGAUUCUUUUUUAUUGUUGAAAAAAUUAAAAACAAAUUGUUUUUUACCAUAAUUAAAAUUUAUAAUAUUUCAAUUUUUAAUUUUUAGUUUUAAAUAAAAAUUACAAAUAUGAAAAAUAAAAAAAAUUAUGGUGC
RNAcentral lists this ribosomal RNA (145 nucleotides) under Meloidogyne incognita (southern root-knot nematode). Its description in RNAcentral is "partial 16S ribosomal RNA". The record is from RNAcentral. Lineage: Eukaryota; Metazoa; Nematoda; Chromadorea; Rhabditida; Meloidogynidae.